GAUGAACGCUGGCGGCGUGCUUAACACAUGCAAGUCGAACGAUGAAGCCCAGCUUGCUGGGUGGAUUAGUGGCGAACGGGUGAGUAACACGUGAGUAACCUGCCCUUAACUCUGGGAUAAGCCUGGGAAACUGGGUCUAAUACCGGAUAGGAGCGUCCACCGCAUGGUGGGUGUUGGAAAGCUUUAUCGGUUUUGGAUGGACUCGCGGCCUAUCAGCUUGUUGGUGGGGUAAUGGCUCACCAAGGCAACGACGGGUAGCCGGCCUGAGAGGGUGACCGGCCACACUGGGACUGAGACACGGCCCAGACUCCUACGGGAGGCAGCAGUGGGGAAUAUUGCACAAUGGGCGCAAGCCUGAUGCAGCGACGCCGCGUGAGGGAUGACGGCCUUCGGGUUGUAAACCUCUUUCAGUAGGGAAGAAGCGAAAGUGACGGUACCUGCAGAAGAAGCACCGGCUAACUACGUG
This 466-nucleotide ribosomal RNA is filed under the name uncultured bacterium. RNAcentral describes it as "partial 16S ribosomal RNA". It matches the Rfam family "Bacterial small subunit ribosomal RNA", at positions 28 to 507 of the family's 1533-position model. The record is from RNAcentral.